CCUAGAGCUCCUCUGUGCUCCGCCUGCUCAUCGGCCCCUCUUCCAGCCCCUGACGACCACUGAUGUCUUUCCUGCCUCCGUAGUUGUGCCGUUUCCAGAGUGCUGCGCAGAGUGAUGCUCCGUCACCUGCGGCUCCACUCACCUGCUGAAGGGCCCGGGGGGCUCCGCAUCCUGCUGAUCAUGCAUCAGGCCCUGCGAACACCCUUGUGCAGCUCAGCUCUACCUGGCGGUUCCCAUGGCUGUAAACGUGCCGGCACCUCAAAAUCACAAGUGAAAGCUGGCUGUGACAGCGCAUGCCUGUAAUCCCAGCACUCAGGAGGCUAAGGCAGGAAGGUUGCUGUGAGUUCAAGGCCAGUCUGAACUGGAUAGUGAGACCCUAUCUCUGAAUCAACCAACCAACCAACCAACACAAGUGAGACCUCCCUGCACCCCGCUUCCCCUCUGGCCGCUACGCCAUCUCUGUUCCCUGAGCAGCCAAACUGUAAGUAGUAUCGGCAUCCUUGCCACCCCAGCGUCUGUGCCCUCCUUCCAGCUGUGGUGAGCUACCUGUGCCCUGCCCUCCCCUCCCAGUGGCCCCUCAGUCACCUUCCUCCUCCCAUGCCCUUGGCUUCUACCCACCUGCCAGCCUUUGUUUCAGGUCCCUCCCCGAACCACGUAUGGAGCCUUCCAGCCCCUUCCCUUCUUCCAGCAUGCUUGCUCCCGUGUUAUCCGCACCCGCUGUCCAAGGAGGGCUCAGCCUCCCCUCCUCUGCCCUGGACUCCAGACACAGAGAUCUUUCCACCUACCUGACAUCCCUGGGCAGCUGAGUGACAGGUCUCCAAUGUCAGUGUCCGGCCCCGCACAGGAUCCCUGCCCUCGGACCACCUGGUCUCCCACCUCCUCAGCUGACCUCACGGCACCCCCUUGGCCACCUCUGGCUCUGGGCUGGGGAUGUCCUGGACCCCUCUUUCCUGCAGCCAUUUCCAUCCAUGUGGGGCUCCUGCCAGCUCUGCCUUCAUGAGACCACAGUCUGGCCUUGUUAUAGUUUGGAUCAAAAAUGUCC
This is a long non-coding RNA of Fukomys damarensis (Damara mole-rat), 1042 nucleotides long. RefSeq lists it as uncharacterized. Lineage: Eukaryota; Metazoa; Chordata; Mammalia; Rodentia; Bathyergidae. The transcript has 3 exons. The record is from RefSeq and is a predicted model, not a curated record.